GACGGAAGGUGCAAGCGUUGCUCGGAAUUACUGGGCGUAAAGGGCUCGUAGGCGGCCAACUAAGUCGGAUGUGAAAUCCCCAGGCUCAACCUGGGAACUGCAUCCGAUACUGGAUGGCUUGAAUUCGGGAGAGGGAUGCAGAAUUCCAGGUGUAGCGGUGAAAUGCGUAGAUAUCUGGAGGAAUACCGGUGGCGAAGGCGGCAUCCUGGACCGACAUUGACGCUGAGGAGCGAAAGCCAGGGGAGCGAACGGG
RNAcentral lists this ribosomal RNA (253 nucleotides) under uncultured bacterium. RNAcentral describes it as "partial 16S ribosomal RNA". It matches the Rfam family "Bacterial small subunit ribosomal RNA", at positions 524 to 776 of the family's 1533-position model. The record is from RNAcentral.